GUAGAGUUUGAUCCUGGCUCAGGACGAACGCUGGCGGCGUGCCUAAUACAUGCAAGUCGAGCGGACAGAAGGGAGCUUGCUCCCGGAUGUUAGCGGCGGACGGGUGAGUAACACGUGGGUAACCUGCCUGUAAGACUGGGAUAACUCCGGGAAACCGGAGCUAAUACCGGAUAGUUCCUUGAACCGCAUGGUUCAAGGAUGAAAGACGGUUUCGGCUGUCACUUACAGAUGGACCCGCGGCGCAUUAGCUAGUUGGUGAGGUAACGGCUCACCAAGGCGACGAUGCGUAGCCGACCUGAGAGGGUGAUCGGCCACACUGGGACUGAGACACGGCCCAGACUCCUACGGGAGGCAGCAGUAGGGAAUCUUCCGCAAUGGACGAAAGUCUGACGGAGCAACGCCGCGUGAGUGAUGAAGGUUUUCGGAUCGUAAAGCUCUGUUGUUAGGGAAGAACAAGUGCAAGAGUAACUGCUUGCACCUUGACGGUACCUAACCAGAAAGCCACGGCUAACUACGUGCCAGCAGCCGCGGUAAUACGUAGGUGGCAAGCGUUGUCCGGAAUUAUUGGGCGUAAAGGGCUCGCAGGCGGUUUCUUAAGUCUGAUGUGAAAGCCCCCGGCUCAACCGGGGAGGGUCAUUGGAAACUGGGAAACUUGAGUGCAGAAGAGGAGAGUGGAAUUCCACGUGUAGCGGUGAAAUGCGUAGAGAUGUGGAGGAACACCAGUGGCGAAGGCGACUCUCUGGUCUGUAACUGACGCUGAGGAGCGAAAGCGUGGGGAGCGAACAGGAUUAGAUACCCUGGUAGUCCACGCCGUAAACGAUGAGUGCUAAGUGUUAGGGGGUUUCCGCCCCUUAGUGCUGCUAGCCUUAUUACGCUCUUAAGCAAUGA
Molecule: ribosomal RNA, 888 nt
Filed under: Bacillus xiamenensis
Lineage: Bacteria; Bacillati; Bacillota; Bacilli; Caryophanales; Bacillaceae
Description: bacterial SSU rRNA
Rfam family: Bacterial small subunit ribosomal RNA
Source: RNAcentral